UGUAGUUCAGUGGUAGAGUACUCACCUUGCAUGUGUGAGGCCCUGGGUUCAAUCCCCAGUA
This 61-nucleotide transfer RNA is filed under the name Ictidomys tridecemlineatus (thirteen-lined ground squirrel). RNAcentral describes it as "Spermophilus tridecemlineatus (thirteen-lined ground squirrel) tRNA". It matches the Rfam family "tRNA", at positions 6 to 65 of the family's 71-position model. Rfam says of the family: Transfer RNA (tRNA) molecules are approximately 80 nucleotides in length. Their secondary structure includes four short double-helical elements and three loops (D, anti-codon, and T loops). Further hydrogen bonds mediate the characteristic L-shaped molecular structure. tRNAs have two regions of fundamental functional importance: the anti-codon, which is responsible for specific mRNA codon recognition, and the 3' end, to which the tRNAs corresponding amino acid is attached (by aminoacyl-tRNA synthetases). tRNAs cope with the degeneracy of the genetic code in two manners: having more than one tRNA (with a specific anti-codon) for a particular amino acid; and 'wobble' base-pairing, i.e. permitting non-standard base-pairing at the 3rd anti-codon position. The record is from Rfam by way of RNAcentral. Lineage: Eukaryota; Metazoa; Chordata; Mammalia; Rodentia; Sciuridae.